Molecule: ribosomal RNA, 620 nt
Filed under: uncultured bacterium
Lineage: Bacteria
Description: bacterial SSU rRNA
Rfam family: Bacterial small subunit ribosomal RNA
Source: RNAcentral
CGGUACUCGCGAAUGCUCUAGAUUAGAGUUUGAUCAUGGCUCAGGCACGAACGCUGGCGGCGAUGCCUAAUACAUGCAAGUCGAGCGAACAGAGAAGGAGCUUGCUCCUUCGACGUUAGCGGCGGACGGGUGAGUAACACGUGGGCAACCUACCUUAUAGUUUGGGAUAACUCCGGGAAACCGGGGCUAAUACCGAAUAAUCUAUUUUACUUCAUGGUGAAAUACUGAAAGACGGUUUCGGCUGUCGCUAUAAGAUGGGCCCGCGGCGCAUUAGCUAGUUGGUGAGGUAACGGCUCACCAAGGCGACGAUGCGUAGCCGACCUGAGAGGGUGAUCGGCCACACUGGGACUGAGACACGGCCCAGACUCCUACGGGAGGCAGCAGUAGGGAAUCUUCCACAAUGGGCGAAAGCCUGAUGGAGCAACGCCGCGUGAGUGAAGAAGGUUUUCGGAUCGUAAAACUCUGUUGUAAGGGAAGAACAAGUACAGUAGUAGCUGGCUGUACCUUGACGGUACCUUAUUAGAAAGCCACGGCUAACUACGUGCCAGCAGCCGCGGUAAUACGUAGUGGCAAGCGUUGUCCCGGAAAUUUAUUUGGGCGUAAAAGCGGCGCGCAUGCGG